GACGUAGGAUGCGAGCGUUGUCCGGAUUUAUUGGGCGUAAAGAGUUCGUAGGUGGUUUGUUAAGUCUGAUGUUAAAGACUGAGGCUCAACCUCGGAAAUGCAUUGGAUACUGGCAGACUGGAGUGCAGUAGAGGCAAGUGGAAUUCCCAGUGUAGCGGCGAAAUGCGUAGAUAUUGGGAAGAACACCAGUGGCGUAGGCGACUUGCUGGGCUGUAACUGACACUGAGGAACGAAAGCCAGGGUAGCGAAUGGG
RNAcentral lists this ribosomal RNA (253 nucleotides) under uncultured bacterium. RNAcentral describes it as "partial 16S ribosomal RNA". It matches the Rfam family "Bacterial small subunit ribosomal RNA", at positions 524 to 776 of the family's 1533-position model. The record is from RNAcentral.